CUCCCCCGCCUCUCGGCGGCCGCCGGCGGCAGCUGCCUCGGCCCCGGUGCCUGCGCGGGGCUGAGCCCUCGGCCCCGCGGCCUCCGCAGCUGCUCCCGCCCGGGCCAUUGUGUACAAAGGCGUUCGCCCCUCAACCUUCAGGGCCCGGGAGGACAGAGCGAGGGGUGCGAGCCGCGUUCCUCUCGGCGUGAAGUGUGUGGUUCGUGGAGGGGAGAGAACAGGCGGCCGGGUCGUCACGCGAGGCGCAGGCACUUUGUGCAUCGUGCUGUACAAAAAUGGCUCGGUGCCAUUUUCCGGAGGCCCCAGAUGGAGCCUUUGGAGGGGUCUGUGCCUCGCCCGCCGGCUGCCAGUGGGAAAGAGGAGCUGCCACAGCGGAUCUUGGCUGCAGGACAGACAGUUCACAACAAACUGCCACUGCCUGUACAAUGGUGGGACUAGGGGCAGCUGGAGUUUUGAAUGUCCUGAAAGAUUCCUGGCUUGCCAAUGUUCCCAGAGUCUUCCACUGCUCCCACCCGAAUGGAGCAUCCUCUUUCUUCAGUGCCCAAAGCGGAUGCCAACCAUAACCUCCUCCCCAGUGUCCCUUGCUUUUUUUUAAGGGUAGAGCUGUAACAGCUGACAGUGACAGAAUAUCAUUGCAGCUACAAACAGCUACUGGAGGUCAAGGAGCUUCUCUCCUGCUCUUCUCAUCAACCACCCUGCCCUCCAGCUCUCCUUAUUUUGCUCGGUAUCAGCACAUCAUCACAAUGCCUUUGUCAUACAAAAUAGCAGGAAGAAGAUGGUUUAAAGGAAGAAUGAAAAACAGGGGUGGGGGGACAGCCUAUGUAAAAGAUGUGUGGCUGGUCUGAGAAGCAUCCCUUCGAAAAGUGUUUCAGGCAUUAUAACUGUGCUCUCAUCUCUCUAAACGGCCAGACUUGGUCUGUGUUUUAACGCAGCCAAACUCGGUGUCUCCCAAGACAUCUCUCAUUACCUGUCAGUGCAGCACACGGUCAAAUGCAGCCUUGUCCUGACUGUGCUCCCUGAGUGCUAAUUACACCCUGAAUGCCGUUCAGUGGGGCAGUUUUGCUUAACAAAGACUCCCUGCUGGGUAAGUACCCUAUAGUCCCUGAUUGCCCUUAACCCAAGGAUAUGGAUACAGUCCUUACUAGGCCAUCUGCCGUGGUUCCUCUUUCACAGCUGACACGCUCUGCUUUCCUUGUGUUCUCACCCACACACAUCAUCUCCCUCCCACCUCCUCCUCUGCGUUCACAUCACAGUGGAGCUCUGCUCCCUUUUGCCUUGCUGGUGGUGCUACCCACACAAAACCCUUCCCAUGUGCUCUGCAGAGCACUCAACAGAACUGGUCCUCCAGUCCUUGACUCUUCCCACUCUCUUUUACUGUCACACACACAAGUUUUAUAUAAAUACCCCCCCAAUAUCUCUGUUGAUAUGAGCAACAAAGGCCCCUGUGAAAUUUAAAGAACCCACAACAUUGUCUCCUGGGGCUGAUGGAAGGUUACAAGGUGUAGGGAGCUGGGGGUUGGAACAAGAUGAUCUUUAAGGUCGCUUCCAACUCAAACCAUUCUGUGAUUCUAUGAUUCUCCAAGGGCAGAUAGAAGGAGCCAUCUGGGAGAGCAGUGUAGGUAACUUUCUAUGCUCUUCUAUCAUUGCUCACUUUGUCUGGUUUGAAGGGAAUCUCCAUAUUUUGCGCUUUUGAAGAAAGCCUUCGAAACACCAGUGGUGAGAAUUUCUGGAGUGGGAGCUGCCUGAAUUUGCAAAGGGCCUGAACAAUUUGUUCAUGGAACAGGAGACUGCUGUUGAUCAUUUUUAUUGUUGACAUUGACUGGCUCACCUCCCACCAAAACACAGAUUUAUCAUAUUGCACAUCUGCUGGGUCUACAAAGAACACCCAUUUUUAAAGCACACAGUGUGUCACGACUGUCUAGAAGUUGCUACAAAAGCCUGAGAAACUGCACUACAUGAACUACCUCACUGAAACAAGCCUUGGCUUAGAUUUUAUUCCCUUUGCCUGCUUUGUGAUUUAUUUAUUUAUAUGUAGUAUGAUAAAAAGCACCUUUUCAGAGCUCCUCUGUCUUUGUGAUUAAUGUAAACAGUUCAUAUUCUUACAUUUUUGUACUCUUACUUCAGUUUGACACUCUGACUCUGUAAUCAAUUUUAGCAACCUCAAGAGACUAUUUGCAGAAGA
This is a long non-coding RNA of Pipra filicauda (Wire-tailed manakin), 2182 nucleotides long. RefSeq lists it as uncharacterized. The record is from RefSeq and is a predicted model, not a curated record. The transcript has 2 exons. Lineage: Eukaryota; Metazoa; Chordata; Aves; Passeriformes; Pipridae.